GAUGAACGCUGGCGGCGUGCUUAACACAUGCAAGUCGAACGGAAAGGCCCAAGCUUUCUUGGGUCCUCCAGUGGCGAACGGGUUAUUAACACGUGGGUUAUCUGCCCUGCACUUCGGGGUAAGCCUGGGUAAUUGGGUCUAAUACCGGGUAGUACCACUUCUUUGAUGUUGUGGUGGAGAGUUUUUGCGGUGUGGGUUGAUCUCGCGACCUAUCAGCUUGUUGGUGGGGUACUGGCCUACCAAGGCGUCGGCGGGUAGCCGGCCUGUGAGGGUGUACGGCCACAUUGGGACUGAGACACGGCCCAGACGCCGACGGGAGGAAGCGGUGGGGAAUAGUGCACAAAGGGCGCCAGGCUGAUGGAGCGAAGCCGGGUGGGGGAGGACUGACCUCGGGUUGCAGACGCAGUUCGCGAGGGACGAGGCGUUUUGUGACGGUACCUGGAGAAGAAGCACCGGCUAACUACGUG
Molecule: ribosomal RNA, 467 nt
Filed under: uncultured bacterium
Lineage: Bacteria
Description: partial 16S ribosomal RNA
Rfam family: Bacterial small subunit ribosomal RNA
Source: RNAcentral